UAUGGAAGGCAGCAGUGGGGAAUAUUGCACAAUGGGCGAAAGCCUGAUGCAGCUAUGCCGCGUGUAUGAAGAAGGCCUUAGGGUUGUAAAGUACUUUCAUCGGGGAGGAAAAACAAAACUAAUAAUUUUAUUUCUUGACGUUACCCGAAAAAGAAGCACCGGCUAACUCCGUGCCAGCAGCCGCGGUAAUACAGAGGGUGCGAGCGUUAAUCGGAUUUACUGGGCGUAAAGCGUGCGUAGGCGGCUGAUUAAGUCGGAUGUGAAAUCCCUGAGCUUAACUUAGGAAUUGCAUUCGAUACUGGUCAGCUAGAGUAUGGGAGAGGAUGGUAGAAUUCCAGGUGUAGCGGUGAAAUGCGUAGAGAUCUGGAGGAAUACCGAUGGCGAAGGCAGCCAUCUGGGCCUAAUACUGACGCUGAGGUACGAAAGCAUGGGGAGCAAACAGGGAUUAGAAUAACC
This 456-nucleotide ribosomal RNA is filed under the name uncultured bacterium. Its description in RNAcentral is "bacterial SSU rRNA". It matches the Rfam family "Bacterial small subunit ribosomal RNA", at positions 340 to 787 of the family's 1533-position model. The record is from RNAcentral.